Theobroma cacao (cacao) is the source of this 291-nucleotide non-coding RNA. NCBI's taxonomy places the organism in Eukaryota, Viridiplantae, Streptophyta, Magnoliopsida, Malvales, Malvaceae. The record is from RefSeq and is a predicted model, not a curated record.
GAGCAAAACCAUAUUCUAACGUGACCCAGCCCGUGCUGAACUAGGGUUUUGAACAUAUCAACCCUAGCCUAGGGUUUGGAAGGAGCUCUAUAUAAACGAUUCAAGGUCGCCUCUCUUCUUCAUCGUCUCAUCUUUGAGCUUCCGGCCUCGAGGUAUUGCGUGGAUUCUUGUGCUUCUUUAGAGAUUGUUGUACCUGAAAUUGUAUAUUGUAGUCUACAGGAAAAAAAGUAAUUGUAUUUAACGUUUGAAAGGAUAGAGCAAUGAAAUUCAAGUGUCGUUUAUUUGAAGGAA